Molecule: small nuclear RNA, 145 nt
Organism: Toxorhynchites rutilus septentrionalis
Lineage: Eukaryota; Metazoa; Arthropoda; Insecta; Diptera; Culicidae
Product: U4 spliceosomal RNA
Exons: 1
Source: RefSeq, a predicted model, not a curated record
AGCUUUGCGCAGUGGCGAUAUCGUAACCAAUGAGGUUUUACCGAGGUGCGAUUAUUGCUAGUUGAAAAAAAAACUAUUUUCACUGUGAACGAAUUCCCAUGAUUUGCAUACCAAUCGAAUGAAAUUCUGUAAGAUUUAUUUGAUU